This 348-nucleotide ribosomal RNA is filed under the name uncultured alpha proteobacterium DCM-FREE-32. RNAcentral's name for it is "bacterial SSU rRNA". It matches the Rfam family "Bacterial small subunit ribosomal RNA", at positions 1153 to 1501 of the family's 1533-position model. The record is from RNAcentral. Lineage: Bacteria; Pseudomonadati; Pseudomonadota; Alphaproteobacteria.
CAAUGAUAAGUGGGAGGAAGGUGGGGAUGACGUCAAGUCCUCAUGGCCCUUAUGUGUUGGGCUACACACGUGCUACAAUGGCACUUACAAUGGGAAGCAAAGAGGCGACUCCUAGCUAAUCCCAAAAAUGUGUCUCAGUUCGGAUUGUACUCUGUAACUCGAGUGCAUGAAGCUGGAAUUGCUAGUAAUCGCGGAUCAGCGCGCCGCGGUGAAUACGUUCCCGGGUCUUGUACACACCGCCCGUCACACCAUGGAAGUGGAUUGCACCAGAAGUAGAUAGUCUAACCUUCGGGAGGGCGUUUACCACGGUGUGCUUCAUGACUGGGGUGAAGUCGUAACAAGGUAACC